UUGCGGCUACCAGCCGGCAAUACGGCUAUCAGCCGGGCGUGUCUGUAGUAUGCUAUAGUAUACUAUAGUAUACUACAGACACGCCCAGCUGAUAGCCGUAUUGCCGGCUGGUAGCUGCAAUGUA
Molecule: non-coding RNA, 124 nt
Organism: Paramuricea clavata
Lineage: Eukaryota; Metazoa; Cnidaria; Anthozoa; Malacalcyonacea; Plexauridae
Source: the annotation of a GenBank genome assembly